RNAcentral lists this ribosomal RNA (1161 nucleotides) under human gut metagenome. RNAcentral describes it as "bacterial SSU rRNA". It matches the Rfam family "Bacterial small subunit ribosomal RNA", at positions 362 to 1520 of the family's 1533-position model. The record is from RNAcentral.
UUUUCGGCAAUGGGGGAAACCCUGACCGAGCAAUGCCGCGUGAAUGAUGAAAUUCUUCGGAAUGUAAAAUUCUGUUGUGAGGGAAGAAAGGUAGUAUCAGGAAAUGGGUAUUACUUGACGGUACCUUACUAGAAAGCCCCGGCUAACUAUGUGCCAGCAGCCGCGGUAAUACAUAGGGGGCGAGCGUUAUCCGGAAUUAUUGGGCGUAAAGCGUGCGUAGGUGGCCGUUUAAGUCUGUCGUGAAAGCCCACAGCUUAACUGUGGAGGGUCGAUGGAAACUGGAUGGCUUGAAUCUAGAAGAGGUAAGUGGAAUUCCAUGUGUAGCGGUAAAAUGCUUAGAUAUAUGGAGGAACACCAGUGGCGAAGGCGGCUUACUGGUCUAGCAUUGACGCUGAGGCACGAAAGCGUAGGUAGCAAACAGGAUUAGAUACCCUGGUAGUCUACGCUGUAAACGAUGAGCACUAAGUGUCGGACGUAAGUUCGGUGCUGUAGUUAACGCAUUAAGUGCUCCGCCUGGGGAGUACGGUCGCAAGACUGAAACUCAAAGGAAUUGACGGGGACUCGCACAAGCGGUGGAGCAUGUGGUUUAAUUCGACGCAACGCGAAAAACCUUACCAGGCCUUGACAUCCCUAUGACCGCUCUAGAGAUAGAGUUUCCUCUUCGGAGGUAUAGGUGACAGGUGGUGCAUGGUUGUCGUCAGCUCGUGUCGUGAGAUGUUGGGUUAAGUCCCGCAACGAGCGCAACCCUUAUCAUUAGUUGCUAACAUUAAGUUGAGCACUCUAAUGAGACUGCCAGCGACAAGUUGGAGGAAGGUGGGGAUGACGUCAAAUCAUCAUGCCCCUUAUGGCCUGGGCUACACACGUGCUACAAUGGCCGGUACAAAGAGCAGCGAAAUUGUGAAAUGGAGCAAAUCUCAAAAAGCCGGUCUCAGUUCGGAUUGUAGUCUGCAACUCGACUACAUGAAGUUGGAAUCGCUAGUAAUCGUGGAUCAGCAUGCCACGGUGAAUACGUUCUCGAGUCUUGUACACACCGCCCGUCACACCAUGAGAGUUUGUAAUACCCGAAGCCGGUGGCUUAACCGCAAGGAGAGAGCCGUCUAAGGUAGGACAGAUGAUUGGGGUGAAGUCGUAACAAGGUAUCCCUACGAGAACGUGGGGAUG